AUGGCUUGUGGCUGCUUUUCCCAAUACCCUCAGGUCGGGGAGAUCUGUGGGUCUGUGGGGAAGGAGAGAAAUGUUCCUGGGAUGUCCUCAGUAGGCCUGCAGUGGAUCUGGGACCCUUUGUGGAGGUCUGGGAGGGGUCAUGGGGAAGAAAGGUUGAACUCCACUUCCCCUGAGCUGGGGGACACUGGGGCUAGAGUUGGGCCAGGCUGGGUGGUUCCUGCAGCUGCUGGGUGUGCUCCUCGGGAGGGAGCUGGGAGGUGGGGGCAGUGGUGGUGGCCGUGGGUCCCCAAUUCUUCCCAUUUUCCAAACUUAAAGCGGGGAAAGAAAACAGGCCACACAGUCAGGAGAGCCUCUUUGUUAACAAACAUGGAUCAACUAUAGGUGACACAAGGAUGGGUCACACAGUCUCUGCUUCCCAGUCUUCAGGCUGAGGUGCCACAGGAAUGAGGAUGCAAGAUACAGCAGACAUGAGUCAUGAAAGAAGUAUACACGACGAAGCCAGACUAGGGAACUAAGUGGGAAAUCUGGGGGAUCUGAACAGAGGCUCUCGGGUCAAUUACAUUUGGGAAGGACCCAGAAGGAUAUGUAAAAUUCAUCUUCUUUCUUCUUUAUAAAAAUUUAUUACCCUUACUUUUUAAACAAAGGGUGGGGUGGGAAGAGAGAGAGAGAAGCGGGCAUCAUUGAUGGAAGGGGAGCAAAGAGGAAGGUGUUCUAGGCACAGGAGGCCUGGCAGGGGCAAAGGCACAGGGAUGGAAUGUGGGCCCACUUGGGAAGCAUUGAGUAAUUCAGUUUGAUUGGGCAUGAGGUAGUGGAAAGAAGAACUGGAAAGGUAGACCAGAGCCAUAUCACCACGGGGGCCCCUAAAUUCCAAGCUAAGGAAUUUGCACUUCAUUUAGUAGGCCACAGGGAACCUCCACAAGUGACUGGAUUACAAGUGUGCUUUAGGAGGAAAACUCCAGCAGCCAUGCGUGGGAUGAACUAGAGGUAGAGGUCCCAUUAGUUAAGCGACUAGAGAAUGAUGUGGGCCUUCAUAUGGACGCCAUUCUUGGGAACUGGAAGGCAGGAAGAUACUUAUCCAAAGCUCCCAUGUCUUGAUUCUAUCUUUAUUCUGAGGACAGAUACAGAGAUGAACAAAGACACAAGCUCUAGCUGAUUCAUAUAUAGCCUUGUGGAGAAGGCAAUAAAGGAGCAGUUAUCCUGCAAUAGGGUCAAGUGCACAACAGGGUCAAGUACUCAGGGACUGCAAAAAAAGGGGGGAUUUGAGAAAUGGUUCAGAGGUUUCCCAUGUAGAAAAGAACACUGACUCUCACAUUUUUUCUUCCCUGAUUUAGUCUAAAUAGUGCUGCUCAUAGAUGUAUUUGUGUUUAGCUGGCAUCUAAUCUGAAGAAGUUUCGCCAAGCCAAUCAUAGGGCAAAUGACCCCACUGAACACAGACAAAUGUCCAGGUUCUCUGUUCACCCUCCUAACACUUAGAGGGGGAGGGAUGGGAAAACCCAAGCAGGGACUAACCCACUGGACUGAGUGGUUUGAGAAGCCCAAGGACCCAGUGUUAAUUCUGACCUGAAGACACAUGUCCCCACCUCUCAGCUUUGCUUAAUUGGGUUACAGGAAUUAGUCUUGAGAACAGAGAAAAGGCAAGAAACCACAUUCUCCUCACUCUUAAGCCUCUAAAGAAGAGGUCAAGUGAGGUCGCCCCUGCUUGACCUGAUGAGGAUGGCCAAGCAAGGAAAAUGGCUUUUUGGGAGAUGUCAUAAGGCAGGCCAGCAAAGGGCAGGCAGGAAGAGAGAGGGAAAGUCAGACCAGGGACAGCUGGGGAGGAUGCCCCAAGGUGGUGCCUGGCACAGAGGAGGCCUCUGCUAAUUAUUUUACAGAUUGCAUGAAUCAGCCCCAGAGGUCAGGGGGCACUCAUUUUAGGAGAAAUGCAACUAAAAUGGCAGCAAGAAACCACCUUUCACCUAUUGGAUAGGCAAAGAUCAGGAGGCUUGGUAAGAUUCUGUGUCAGUGAGGGUGUAGGAAACAUCCCCUCCAAUGCCCUGCUGAUGCAGCCAUAAGUGGAUAGCUUCAGUGCAAGGCAAUUUAGUAGUAUGGAUCAACAUUACAAAUGUGUGUAAUUUGCAGGCAAGCAAUCUCACUUCUGGGAAUUUAUCAAGCAGAUAUGCACAUGUGCAAAGUGACCUAUAUACAGUGUAUUUAUUUGCAGCUUUGCUUGUAAGGUACGACUAGAAAAUAAAAUAAUCGGGGCUGGUAAAAUUGAUUAUGGCUUAUCCUCAAUUAAACACAGGUAUUAUGAAUUAUGACAUGGACUGAUCUGUAAGAUCAAUUGUCCAAAAAAACUACAGGAAAAAUUGCGUGUAUAGUACGCACGAUUUGUGUGAACAAUAAAAAACAACAUAUGCAUGUUUGUAUGCUGUCGUGAGUAUAGGAAGAAAAAUACAUAUUUGCUUAUAAAAGCAUAGACUAUGUCUAGAAAGAAACACUAGAAAACUUGGGUUUGCCCCCCAGGAUGAUGAACUGGGUUAACUGCGGAGCGGGAACAUUGUAUACUCAUUUGUACCUUUAAAAUUUUGUGUUAGGUACAAGUAGUACUUACCAAAAACAUUUUUAGUACAAGCAAAUUAAAAAGGAGAGAACUGGUCAAGGAGGCUUAUGGUUGUUUCCUCCAACAGGGGCUCCCUGAGCAGUCCUGUCCCUGUGUGCUGGUCUACAGCACCCCCUGCUGCUGCUUGUGAGCACUCUCAGCGCAAUGUGGGUGUGGGGGUGACAGAGCAGGGGAUUCUUUGAGGGAGCACUGGGGUCUCUUUAAACAAAGAAAGUGGAAAAAAAAUAAGCAAAGAAAGUGGAAAGGAUGGCAUGCAAUAUUGGAGCUGGAGGAGAUUCAGACAGGACAGGAUGUGCCCUGUGGCAUCAGAGGUGUAGCAAGCUGGGCGCUGGGAAUGAACAGUCCUGGGUUCGAGUCCCGACCCUGCCCUCCCUGGCUGUGUGCUCUUGGAUUCAUGACCCUCUUAAUAAGUCUCAGCUCUUACCCCAUAAAUUGCUCUAAUAAUAUUUACCUCUAGGGUUGUUUUGAGGAUCCAAUAGGGCACAGAGUGUAAACAGUGCUUUAGAAUCAGAAAAAAGCUAUAAAUCUAGGGGAUUAUUUUUAACUACCCCUCUCAUUUUAUGAGGAAAUAAGAGGUAGUAUAGGGCAGUGGUUAAGACAAAGAUUCUGCAGCCAGAACUGCUGGACUUGGAAGCCUAGUUUUACCACUCAUGGGCUGGGAUGAUCUAGGGUAAAUUAAUUUGGAGACUUUCAUUUUUCAUCUAUGAAAUAGGGCUAAUAAUGACAUUUUCAUACGUUGUUGUGAGGAUUAAGGGAAUAAAUACAAACAAAUAAAGCAUUUGGUAUAGUGUCUGGCACACAUGAAGUGCUGAGUAAGCAUCUGCUAUUAUUGAUUCCUUAUAAGAUCUACAAUGCUUAUGUACCUUAUGUAGGACCUUGACACAUAUGAGCGAGUCUUACCAUUUUAUAGGUGAAGAAAUUGAAGCAUGGAAAGGGGAUGUGACUUGCCCAAGCCACCCAACUAAUGAGUACUAAUAAUUCUCCUUCCAAAGAACCUUAGGCAUUUCCUGGACGUUAGCACUCUAGUUCAGAGGGCAUUCCCAGGUGGGAGUGUAUUUCUUACUCCCCGCAACCUGAAGAAAAACUGGACUGGAUGGGGGAUGGAAGAAGGUGGGAGAAGCGGGGGGCACGAGGAAGAGAAGCUGUCAUGGGGGAAGAUAUGGAGACUAGGCUUGUGGGGAGAUGAGAGGCAUGCUGUGUCAGAGUCUAGGAGAAUUUGGCAAAGAGAUGUGGCAUGACCAGGAAACCGAGUGGGAAUUGGGGAUCUGGGACACUGAAGAACUUAGGGGUGAGAUUCAGGCCAGGGGAUUUUCAGGGGAUUUUCAGCCAAGUUCUUGGUAGGGAGGAACUGAGAUCAUGAUGAUAAUGACCAUCCUCACUGUUGAACAGUUAUUUCCUGAGACGGGCAAGAUGGUAUAGUGGAAAGAGCACUAAUAAGAAUGUUUUUUUUUUUUAAAAAAAGAAUGUUUUGAUCAUCUAUGAUGUGCCAGGUGAUCAAAUGCAUGGAGGUAAAAGACUGCUCUUUGCUAAUCGGGGGCCCCUGGGCAGUUUUCUAUAACUUCUGAGCUUCUGUUUUCACAACAGGCAUAGUAAUCCCUGAUGGCACUCUCAUGGAAGAUGAAGUUAGGCAACAAUGGAUGUGAGAGCCAUCACGGUGCCUGGUAUCCUGAGGGCACUCACAAAUGUUGAAUGGAGCAUCCCUGUAUAUGGCACUGAGCCAGGUACUAUGAAGGAGACAAGAAGCACAAGAUGAUGGGGCGCCUGGGUGGUUCAGUGGUUGCGCAUCUGCCUUUGGCUCAGGUUGUGAUCCUGGGGUCCUGGGAUCGAGUCCCACAUAGGGUUCCCAGCAGGGAGUCUGUUUCUCCCUAUCCCUAUGUUUCUGCCUCUCUCUGUAUCUCUCAUGAAUAAAGAAAUACAAUCUUUUUUUUUUUUUUUUUUUUUAAAGAAGAAGCCCGAGAUGAGAAUACUGCGGCCAACGGGCAGGCUUGAAGUCUAGUUGAACAGACAGGACACAUAAAAGGUUUAAAGACAAAACCAAAUGAAAGUCACCAUUUUACAUUCCAAGGACUGGAAAUGAGUAGCUGAACAGUUUGAGGAAUGAGCACCCCACCAAGGGCUGAGCUGCUGAAGGAGGCUCCCUGAAGACAUAUGAGUGAGACCUUAGGGGACCUAAUUCAGUUGAGAAGAAGGAGGUGUGUCCCAGGUGGAAAACAGAGUAAACCUACAGGAUGAGAAAGCAGUGAGCAGAACUAGUGCUUACUGAGUGCCUGCGCCAGAUCGUGCACUUUGCCUUGGGCUUUCCCAGACCUAACCUUCCUGGAUCCUCACCACCACUUGUGAGUGCUUAUCUCUCUCCCCGUUUUAUACAUGAGGGAUAUUGAGAGUCAAAGAAGUUAAGUAACUCACUUAUGAUCACUCUUCACAAAUGGGUGAAUCAAAAUUCAAACCCAGAGCUCUGGCCACAAAAUCCACAUGAAGGAACUAAAGUCAGCAAUAUGAGGCUAAGGAAAUCUAUGUGUUACACUCAUUCGUUCAUUCAACUACUAUUUAGUGAGUGUUUGCUAUGUGCUAGGCAUUGUGCUAAGUGCU
This 5188-nucleotide long non-coding RNA is filed under the name Canis lupus familiaris (dog). Its description in RNAcentral is "lncRNA (ENSCAFG00040014735.1)". The record is from RNAcentral. Lineage: Eukaryota; Metazoa; Chordata; Mammalia; Carnivora; Canidae.